GACGAACGCUGGCGGCGUGCCUAAUACAUGCAAGUCGAGCGAGUCUGCCUUGAAGAUCGGAGUGCUUGCACUCUGUGAAACAAGAUACAGGCUAGCGGCGGACGGGUGAGUAACACGUGGGUAACCUGCCCAAGAGAUCGGGAUAACACCUGGAAACAGAUGCUAAUACCGGAUAACAACAGAUGAUGCCUAUCACCUGUUUAAAAGAUGGUUCUGCUAUCACUCUUGGAUGGACCUGCGGUGCAUUAGCUAGUUGGUAGGGUAACGGCCUACCAAGGCGAUGAUGCAUAGCCGAGUUGAGAGACUGAUCGGCCACAUUGGGACUGAGACACGGCCCAAACUCCUACGGGAGGCAGCAGUAGGGAAUCUUCCACAAUGGACGCAAGUCUGAUGGAGCAACGCCGCGUGAGUGAAGAAGGGUUUCGGCUCGUAAAGCUCUGUUGUUGGUGAAGAAGGACAGGGGUAGUAACUGACCUUUGUUUGACGGUAAUCAAUUAGAAAGUCACGGCUAACUAAGUG
Molecule: ribosomal RNA, 519 nt
Filed under: uncultured bacterium
Lineage: Bacteria
Description: partial 16S ribosomal RNA
Rfam family: Bacterial small subunit ribosomal RNA
Source: RNAcentral